Molecule: long non-coding RNA, 955 nt
Filed under: Pongo abelii (Sumatran orangutan)
Lineage: Eukaryota; Metazoa; Chordata; Mammalia; Primates; Hominidae
Description: lincRNA
Source: RNAcentral
UGGGAGAAAGGGGCAGGUAAUGGACUGGAGUGAGGAGACUGAGGAGAAAUUGUAGAGAAUAAUACUUAGGAGUACAUGUGCUGGAUUCACUCAUUAAGUUAAAGAGCAGGAUGAUGUCUGAAGUGACUGAAACACAUAUGGCUUCAGUGUGUCAAGAAGACCUGAAAGAUCCCACAUGGAAGUGAAAUUCAUUACUGGCAAGCACAGUGGCAGGAGACCCCAGAGGGCUGAGCCGCAAAGAAUUUGCAGAGCCUUAUGGCUAACUCCAUGGCCUAGUUUGAUCUUGAGGUUAUUGUCUUGGAUAAUCCUCUCAAAUCUGUUCCUGCACUUAAGAGCCACUCAUCACAUGAUGGAGCUCCCUCUCAGGUUCCUUUACAUCGCCCUGUCAGAAAUGACUUUCAGGGAACAUAGAUAUCAUAUCAAAUCAUCCAACAGAUGUCCCUUUCAAAUAAGUUGGAGCAGAACCAACUAUGUGGAGAAGUCAUAAACAAGGCAACAGACACCCCAGUGAUUUCCAGCAGAUUGGCGUUGCUCUUUGCACAGAAACCUCAGUCUCCUGGGUGGAAGAACAUGAGUUCAACAGAGCAUGUGUGCACUAUACUGGCUGACUCUUGCCCUGCUCAGGCUCAUGCUGCUGACAGGGGAUAGAGGGGACACUUCGGAGUCCAAAUCUUGCAUCAUCUCAAUGAAGUGUUGUUCAACGUCACGGCUCUAAGAAGUAACCUAUUUUAAUAACUGGCAUCAAAGGACUUAGGAGAGAGAAACCCAGUAUCCAGACCUAUUUCCGUCAGUGACUCUCUCCUUGUAUUGGGAGGAUUGGCCAGAAUCUGAUUCCUGUUUCUGAUUUCCUUCCUCACUGGCAUCAGAGGAUUGCACUAUAGGAAAACUAAUAUCUAACUGAGCUCCAAGUGCUAAAUAAGAGCAUCUCACGUUCAUUCCGGGCCAGCAAGAGGUU